AUGAACGCUGGCGGCGUGCUUAACACCUGCCAGUCGAACGGAACUACUCCAAUGAGAGUCUUCGGAAAGGAUUUGGUUUAGUUUAGUGGCGGACGGGUGAGUAACGCGUGGGUAACCUGCCCUAUACAGGGGGAUAACAGUUGGAAACGACUGUUAAUACCGCAUAAGCGCACAGGAGCGCAUGCUCCGGUGUGAAAAACUCCGGUGGUAUAGGAUGGACCCGCGUCUGAUUAGCUGGUUGGCGGGGUAACGGCCCACCAAGGCGACGAUCAGUAGCCGGCCUGAGAGGGUGAACGGCCACAUUGGGACUGAGACACGGCCCAAACUCCUACGGGAGGCAGCAGUGGGGAAUAUUGCACAAUGGGGGAAACCCUGAUGCAGCGACGCCGCGUGAGCGAAGAAGUAUCUCGGUAUGUAAAGCUCUAUCAGCAGGGAAGAAAAUGACGGUACCUGACUAAGAAGCCCCGGCUAACUACGUG
RNAcentral lists this ribosomal RNA (479 nucleotides) under uncultured bacterium. Its description in RNAcentral is "partial 16S ribosomal RNA". It matches the Rfam family "Bacterial small subunit ribosomal RNA", at positions 29 to 507 of the family's 1533-position model. The record is from RNAcentral.